This 432-nucleotide ribosomal RNA is filed under the name uncultured bacterium. Its description in RNAcentral is "partial 16S ribosomal RNA". It matches the Rfam family "Bacterial small subunit ribosomal RNA", at positions 29 to 506 of the family's 1533-position model. The record is from RNAcentral.
AACGAACGCUGGCGGCAUGCCUAACACAUGCAAGUCGAACGAGACCUUCGGGUCUAGUGGCGCACGGGUGCGUAACGCGUGGGAAUCUGCCCUUGGGUUCGGAAUAACAGUUGGAAACGACUGCUAAUACCGGAUGAUGACGUAAGUCCAAAGAUUUAUCGCCCAGGGAUGAGCCCGCGUAGGAUUAGCUAGUUGGUGGGGUAAAGGCCUACCAAGGCGACGAUCCUUAGCUGGUCUGAGAGGAUGAUCAGCCACACUGGGACUGAGACACGGCCCAGACUCCUACGGAAGGCAGCAGUGGGGAAUAUUGGACAAUGGGCGAAAGCCUGAUCCAGCAAUGCCGCGUGAGUGAUGAAGGCCUUAGGGUUGUAAAGCUCUUUUACCCGGGAUGAUAAUGACAGUACCGGGAGAAUAAGCCCCGGCUAACUCCGU